AUGAAGCUAAACGCAAAUGGCGCAUGGUGGGUGGUCAUUGAAUAUGUCAAACAACACAAGCACAACCUCAUAAAGAAGUUCGACCUUGUAAAAUUUCUGAGCGCCCACAGAGGAUUCAGUCCCCUCGACAAGAAAUUCAUACGGUUGCUACAUCACUGUAACAUCGGUCCAUCAAGAAUGGUCCAAAUACUGUCCAUGAUCCACAACGGAUAUGGUAGUCUGAGUAGCAUGCCCUACAUACCAGCAGACGUCACAAACCUAAAGGCAAAGUACUGUAGAGAGAGCAGGUUAGCUGACAUAAAAGACACAAUCGCCUACUUCAAAGAGAAAGCAAAAGUAGAGCCUGAUUUCUUCUACGGGAUAAGAUUAGACAAUGAAGACUGUGUCCGAAACAUGUAUUGGGUGGAUGGUGCUGUAAGAAGAGCCUAUAAACAUUUCCGUGAUUGCAUUUCGUUCGACACGACAUAUCUCACGAAUAUGUACAAGAUGCCCUGUGCUCCAUUCAUAGGAAUAAAUAACCACAAUACAGAUGGCUACACUUGGUUGUUCACAACCAUCUUGUAGUGCAUGGAUGCACUUACUCCGAUGAACAUAAUAACAGACCAGGAUUUUAGCAUGCGUGCAGGCAUAGAAGAGGUCGUUCCGUUGGCAGUGCACAGGCACUGCAGGUGGCAUAUUAUUAAGAAGACUGAAGAGACGCUAGGAAAGUUCUUUGUUAACACGCAACGUAACGAGGGGUUCAAUGCUGUUUUGAAGCGAGGAGACGGGAUUGUGUGCUGCCACAUACUCAAAAUAAUGGACAUGCACGCGGUCACACGAUUGCCCCGCCAUUUCAUACGACGGCGAUGGGCUUGGGACGCUGACGAUGCGUUGGGGCCACAAACAUCAAAUGUAGUUUUGCCUGUGCAUGAUGACAGACCAAGGCAACCAUGGACUCUGUGA
Molecule: ribosomal RNA, 942 nt
Filed under: Triticum aestivum (bread wheat)
Lineage: Eukaryota; Viridiplantae; Streptophyta; Magnoliopsida; Poales; Poaceae
Description: partial small subunit ribosomal RNA
Source: RNAcentral